Molecule: ribosomal RNA, 810 nt
Filed under: uncultured beta proteobacterium
Lineage: Bacteria; Pseudomonadati; Pseudomonadota; Betaproteobacteria
Description: bacterial SSU rRNA
Rfam family: Bacterial small subunit ribosomal RNA
Source: RNAcentral
GGCGGCGAGUGGCGAACGGGUGAGUAAUAUAUCGGAACGUGCCCAUUAGUGGGGGAUAGCCCGGCGAAAGCCGGAUUAAUACCGCAUACGACCUGAGGGUGAAAGCGGGGGAUCGCAAGAUCCUCGCGCUAUUGGAGCGGCCGAUAUCAGAUUAGCUAGUUGGUGGGGUAAAAGCCUACCAAGGCAACGAUCUGUAGUUGGUCUGAGAGGACGACCAGCCACACUGGGACUGAGACACGGCCCAGACUCCUACGGGAGGCAGCAGUGGGGAAUUUUGGACAAUGGGCGCAAGCCUGAUCCAGCAAUGCCGCGUGCAGGAAGAAGGCCUUCGGGUUGUAAACUGCUUUUGUCAGGGAAGAAAUCCUUUGGGUUAAUACCUCGAAGGGAUGACGGUACCUGAAGAAUAAGCACCGGCUAACUACGUGCCAGCAGCCGCGGUAAUACGUAGGGUGCGAGCGUUAAUCGGAAUUACUGGGCGUAAAGCGUGCGCAGGCGGCUUUGCAAGACAGAGGUGAAAUCCCCGGGCUCAACCUGGGAACUGCCUUUGUGACUGCAAGGCUAGAGUACGGCAGAGGGGGAUGGAAUUCCGCGUGUAGCAGUGAAAUGCGUAGAUAUGCGGAGGAACACCGAUGGCGAAGGCAAUCCCCUGGGCCUGUACUGACGCUCAUGCACGAAAGCGUGGGGAGCAAACAGAGAUUAAGAUACCCUGGUAGUCCACGCCCUAAACGAUGUCAACUGGUUGUUGGACGCUUGCUGUUCAGUAACGAAGCUAACGCGUGAAGUUGCCGCUUGGGGAGUCGCCGCAAAGGG